RNAcentral lists this ribosomal RNA (868 nucleotides) under Penicillium sp. 6 JJK-2011. RNAcentral describes it as "eukaryotic LSU rRNA". It matches the Rfam family "Eukaryotic large subunit ribosomal RNA", at positions 1 to 886 of the family's 3401-position model. The record is from RNAcentral. Lineage: Eukaryota; Fungi; Ascomycota; Eurotiomycetes; Eurotiales; Aspergillaceae.
UUGACCUCGGAUCAGGUAGGGAUACCCGCUGAACUUAAGCAUAUCAAUAAGCGGAGGAAAAGAAACCAACAGGGAUUGCCUCAGUAACGGCGAGUGAAGCGGCAAGAGCUCAAAUUUGAAAGCUGGCUCCUUCGGGGUCCGCAUUGUAAUUUGCAGAGGAUGCUUCGGGAGUGGCCCCCAUCUAAGUGCCCUGGAACGGGCCGUCAUAGAGGGUGAGAAUCCCGUCUGGGAUGGGGUGUCCACGCCCGUGUGAAGCUCCUUCGACGAGUCGAGUUGUUUGGGAAUGCAGCUCUAAAUGGGUGGUAAAUUUCAUCUAAAGCUAAAUACUGGCCGGAGACCGAUAGCGCACAAGUAGAGUGAUCGAAAGAUGAAAAGCACUUUGAAAAGAGAGUUAAACAGCACGUGAAAUUGUUGAAAGGGAAGCGCUUGCGACCAGACUCGCCCACGGGGUUCAGCCGGCAUUCGUGCCGGUGUACUUCCCCGCGGGCGGGCCAGCGUCGGUUUGGGCGGCCGGUCAAAGGCCCUCGGAAUGUAACGCCCCCCGGGGCGUCUUAUAGCCGAGGGUGCCAUGCGGCCAGCCCGGACCGAGGAACGCGCUUCGGCUCGGACGCUGGCAUAAUGGUCGUAAGCGACCCGUCUUGAAACACGGACCAAGGAGUCUAACAUCUACGCGAGUGUUCGGGUGUCAAACCCGUGCGCGCAGUGAAAGCGAACGGAGGUGGGAACCCCUCGGGGCGCACCAUCGACCGAUCCUGAUGUCUUCGGAUGGAUUUGAGUAAGAGCGUAGCUGUUGGGACCCGAAAGAUGGUGAACUAUGCCUGAAUAGGGCGAAGCCAGAGGAAACUCUGGUGGAGGCUCGCAGCGGUUC